CCCCGUGACACGGCGUCUCUGAGCACCACGCCGUCCGAGUCGCCACGCGCCCAGGCUACCUCCCGCCUCUCCACCGCUUCCUGUCCCACCCCCAAGGCGCGGCUCCCCUCCUCUUCAUCCACCCUAAGCAUUGCUGAGGCGUCGCGGCGAGAGUUCAGAGCACACCUGGAUGAGGUCAUCACACUCAAGUCAAGGUACUCUACCUUGGACCAGGUAAAGAGCUCAUCUUCAAUCAUAGUUUGAGACUAAUUCAGCCUGUAAACAUGACUUUAGUACACCGACAGCUACUGAAGCAGCUCAAAUACAGGAAAAAUCCAUUUUGAACACAAACCUACAAAGAUAACAGACUUACUAUCAUCUUCCAGUUAUCAUGGCACUACAGAACAGGUAUCAGUGGGUUUACAUAUUUAGUUUAGUUAAUAAGUUAAGCCAAACCACCGUGUGGUUAGCAUUAUUUC
Sinocyclocheilus grahami is the source of this 458-nucleotide long non-coding RNA. RefSeq lists it as uncharacterized. The transcript has 3 exons. The record is from RefSeq and is a predicted model, not a curated record. NCBI's taxonomy places the organism in Eukaryota, Metazoa, Chordata, Actinopteri, Cypriniformes, Cyprinidae.